RNAcentral lists this ribosomal RNA (232 nucleotides) under uncultured bacterium. RNAcentral's name for it is "partial 16S ribosomal RNA". It matches the Rfam family "Bacterial small subunit ribosomal RNA", at positions 979 to 1207 of the family's 1533-position model. The record is from RNAcentral.
AAGGCUUGACAUACACCGGAAUCACUCAGAGAUGGGUGCGUCUUCGGACUGGUGUACAGGUGGUGCAUGGUUGUCGUCAGCUCGUGUCGUGAGAUGUUGGGUUAAGUCCCGCAACGAGCGCAACCCUCGUUCUAUGUUGCCAGCACGUGAUGGUGGGGACUCAUAGGAGACUGCCGGGGUCAACUCGGAGGAAGGUGGGGAUGACGUCAAAUCAUCAUGCCCCUUAUGUUCG